GACGAACGCUGGCGGCGUGGAUUAGGCAUGCAAGUCGAACGGUAUCAUCCUUUCGGGGGUGAGAGAGUGGCGAACUGGUGAGUAACACGUAGGUUAUCUACCCUCAAGACGGGGACAACCCAGGGAAACUUGGGCUAAUACCGGAUGUGAGCAACUUUUAGUUGUUUGAAAGGUGGCGUAAGCUGUCGCUUGGGGAUGAGCCUGCGUCCUAUUAGUUAGUUGGUGAGGUAACGGCUCACCUAGGCAAUGAUAGGUAGGCGGCCUUAACGGGUGGUCGCCCACACUGGGAUUGAGAUACGGCCCAGACUCCUACGGGAGGCAGCAGUCGAGAAUAGUCUACAAUGGUCGGAAGACUGAUAGUGCGACGCCGCGUGAACGAUGAAUCCCUUCGGGGUGUAAAGUUCUUUUAAUGUGAGCAGUGCUUCUAUAUUAACAGUAUGGGGAAGAGAUAUUAGCAUAUGAAUAAGCAACGGCUAACUCCGUGCCAGCAGCCGCGGUAAUCUCG
RNAcentral lists this ribosomal RNA (505 nucleotides) under uncultured bacterium. Its description in RNAcentral is "bacterial SSU rRNA". It matches the Rfam family "Bacterial small subunit ribosomal RNA", at positions 28 to 527 of the family's 1533-position model. The record is from RNAcentral.